UUGAAUCAAGUCUCUGAUGCUUUUGAGUCAUGUAACCUGAAUAAUGCAAAUCAGGAGGGUUAUUGGGAAAAUCCGUUGACUGGGAUAUCAUUCCCUCCUCUCACUCUGUCUGUAUGGACACUCGUAACUUUUUUUAAUAAAGUGAUCACUGCGAUUAAAUUACGGUCUGAAUCCAGAGGUCAAUAAUGCUGUCAGGAUUUACAAGCCAAAGAGAAAUUGAUGGCACAAAAAUGAAAUUGUCUAAAGGCGUCAUUUUCAUUUUUCUGGCAUUGAUUUUUAAGGUUGCUGUGGCAGGGAAUUCCACAAAGGUGUACAUGCUUGAGCUUGAAUUUGAGAAAUUGGUGUAUAAGAAUGUCACUGAGCAGCUGGACAAGCUU
Long non-coding RNA from Rhinichthys klamathensis goyatoka, 377 nucleotides. RefSeq lists it as uncharacterized. Lineage: Eukaryota; Metazoa; Chordata; Actinopteri; Cypriniformes; Leuciscidae. The record is from RefSeq and is a predicted model, not a curated record. The transcript has 4 exons.